This 414-nucleotide long non-coding RNA is filed under the name Physcomitrium patens. RNAcentral describes it as "long non-coding RNA (PPAT_LNC003407)". Lineage: Eukaryota; Viridiplantae; Streptophyta; Bryopsida; Funariales; Funariaceae. The record is from RNAcentral.
AGCUUCCAUAUUAAAUACUAUAGAAUUAACUUACUUUUACCUACUUUUAUUUACUUCCACCUAUUUAUAUAUGUAAUUACUAUCUUACAUGAGUAUGUCCGUGAUAAAUCCUAGACAAAUCCUAAAUCCUAAAUCAAAUCCUAGACAAAUCCUUAAUCCUAAAUCAAAUCGUAGAUAAAAGUAAAUCCUAAAUCAACUCCUAAAUCAAAUUUAAAAUCUAAAUUCUAAACUCUAAACCAAACCUUAAACAAAUCCUAAACCCUAAAUCAAAUCUUAAAAAAAUUCUAAACUCUAAAUAAAAUCCUAAAAAAAUCUUAAAUCCUAAACCUAAUCCUAAACCAAAUCCUAAUCCUAAAUCGAAUCUUAACCAAAUCAUAAUCAAUUCAAUUUUAAAACUAAGUUGGCAACAAGUAC